RNAcentral lists this ribosomal RNA (255 nucleotides) under uncultured bacterium. RNAcentral describes it as "partial 16S ribosomal RNA". It matches the Rfam family "Bacterial small subunit ribosomal RNA", at positions 524 to 777 of the family's 1533-position model. The record is from RNAcentral.
UACGUAGGGUGCAAGCGUUAAUCGGAAUUACUGGGCUAAAGCGUGCGCAGGCGGUUUUGUAAGUCUGUCGUGAAAUCCCCGGGCUCAACCUGGGAAUUGCGAUGGAGACUGCAAGGCUAGAAUCUGGCAGAGGGGGGUGAGAAUUCCACGUGUAGCAGUGAAAUGCGUAGAGAUGUGGAGGAACACCGAUGGCGAAGGCAGCCCCCUGGGCGUAACACUGACGCUCAUGCACGAAAGCGUGGGGAGCAAACGAGG